AUUCGUUGGAUGAGUGUAAGGCAUUGGAUCGAUUUAACUCAAUCCAAGCCCCACAUUCAUCAGAGAUUCGU
This 71-nucleotide microRNA precursor is filed under the name Nicotiana sylvestris (wood tobacco). Its description in RNAcentral is "MIR6151 microRNA precursor family". It matches the Rfam family "MIR6151 microRNA precursor family". RNAcentral also lists the same sequence under 1 other name. The record is from Rfam by way of RNAcentral. Lineage: Eukaryota; Viridiplantae; Streptophyta; Magnoliopsida; Solanales; Solanaceae.